RNAcentral lists this ribosomal RNA (1233 nucleotides) under metagenome. RNAcentral describes it as "bacterial LSU rRNA". It matches the Rfam family "Bacterial large subunit ribosomal RNA", at positions 1564 to 2808 of the family's 2925-position model. The record is from RNAcentral.
UGGGUACGAGACGCUACGGCGUCGAAGCAGUCUAUGUCAUACUUCCAAGAAAAGCUCGCACUGUCAUAAACAAAUAAUGCCUGUACCAUAACCGACACAGGUGGGUAGGUAGAGUAUACUAAGGGGCGCGAGAUAACUCUCUCUAAGGAACUCGGCAAAAUGACUCCGUAACUUCGGGAGAAGGAGUGCCUUUUUUAAGGUUGCAAUAACCAGAUCCAAGCAACUGUUUAUCAAAAACACAGGUCUCCGCAAAGUCGUAAGACGAUGUAUGGGGGCUGACGCCUGCCCAGUGCCAGAAGGUUAAAGAAGUUGGUUAGUUUCGACGAAGCUGAUGACUGAAGCCCUGGUGAACGGCGGCCGUAACUAUAACGGUCCUAAGGUAGCGAAAUUCCUUGUCGGGUAAGUUCCGACCCGCACGAAAGGCGUAAUGAUUUGGAUACUGUCUCAGAGAGGGGCUCGGUGAAAUAGACUUGUCUGUGAAGAUGCGGACUACCUGCACCUGGACAGAAAGACCCUAUGAAGCUUUACUGUAACUUGAAAUUGAAAUUGGACUUUAUUUGCGCAGCAUAGGUGGGAGGCGUUGAAGAUAUUCUUGCGGGAAAAUUGGAGCCAUCAGUGAGAUACCACUCUUGUAAUGUUAGAUUUCUAACUUUGUAUCAUUAUCUGGUCAAAGAACAGUUUCAGGCGGGCAGUUUGACUGGGGCGGUCGCCUCCCAAACGGUAACGGAGGCGCACAAAGGUUUCCUCUGAACGGGUAGAAAUCGUAUCUAGAGUGUAAAGGCAUAAGAAAGCUUGACUGUGAGACCUACAAGUCGAGCAGGGACGAAAGUCGGUCUUAGUGAUCUGACGGUGCUGAGCGGAAAGGCCGUCACUCAACGGAUAAAAGUUACUCUAAGGAUAACAGGCUGAUCUCCCCCAAGAGUUCACAUCGACGGGGAGGUUUGGCACCUCGAUGUCGGCUCAUCGCAUCCUGGGGCGGUAGUACGUCCCAAGGGUUGGGCUGUUCGCCCAUGAAAGCGGUACGCGAGCUGGGUUCAGAACGUCGUGAGACAGUUCGGUCCAUAUCCGGUGUAGGCGUUAGAAUAUUGAGAGGAGCCUUCUUUAGUACGAGAGGACCGAGAAGGACAUACCUAUGGUGUACCAGUUAUCGUGCCAACGGUAAACGCUGGGUAGCUAUGUAUGGAGUGGAUAACCGCUGAAAGCAUCUAAGUGGGAAGCCCACCUCAAGAUAAC